This 448-nucleotide ribosomal RNA is filed under the name uncultured bacterium. RNAcentral describes it as "bacterial SSU rRNA". It matches the Rfam family "Bacterial small subunit ribosomal RNA", at positions 329 to 794 of the family's 1533-position model. The record is from RNAcentral.
UGCCAGACUCCUACGGGAGGCAGCAGUGGGGAAUAUUGCACAAUGGGCGAAAGCCUGAUGCAGCGACGCCGCGUGAAGGAUGAAGUAUUUCGGUAUGUAAACUUCUCUCAGCAGGGAAGAAAAUGACGGUACCUGAGUAAGAAGCCCCGGCUAACUACGUGCCAGCAGCCGCGGUAAUACGUAGGGGGCAAGCGUUAUCCGGAUUUACUGGGUGUAAAGGGAGCGUAGACGGCAGUGCAAGUCUGGAGUGAAAGGCGGGGGCUCAACCCCCGGACUGCUCUGGAAACUGUACGGCUGGAGUGCAGGAGAGGUAAGUGGAAUUCCUAGUGUAGCGGUGAAAUGCGUAGAUAUUAGGAGGAACACCAGUGGCGAAGGCGGCUUACUGGACUGUAACUGACGUUGAGGCUCGAAAGCGUGGGGAGCAAACAGGAUUAGAUACCCCAGUAAC